Pogonomyrmex barbatus (red harvester ant) is the source of this 813-nucleotide long non-coding RNA. Lineage: Eukaryota; Metazoa; Arthropoda; Insecta; Hymenoptera; Formicidae. The record is from RefSeq and is a predicted model, not a curated record.
AUAAUUUAUUACUUUAUAAUUUCGUCGAACUCAAAAAAAAAUCUAUUUUUAACUGUGUCAUGUUUAUACAUUCUUUCUAUUCUUGGAACGAAAUAGAUAUAAUUCAGAAGUUCUCAGUAUAUUUUCAAGAAAAGUAUAAAUUUUGCAAUAAGAAUAUGUGUAGGAAAUUGACUUUUAUCAACGAACGACAUUUUAAUAUAAUUACAAACGAAGUACUUCUGAAAUAAUUCAUCUCUUCUCCGUAUUUUCUACAUUUGCGCCGAAUAAUGAUAAAAGAAUAAAGAUAAAGAUAUUUCAUGAGGUUAUCCUGCCGCAUUGUGUGAUGACAGUAUACAACAGACUAUUGAUUUUCCCGCCAAUUUCAAAUCUUGCUUCACAUUACCAUCCUGAGAUUUAAAAGACCAAUUCGUCUUACAACGAAAAUAAUUGUAUUUAAGAAACUAGAAACUAGUCGCUUUCAUAUUAUAAAUCUUACUGAGUGUUUCCUACGUAAAUAAGAUUGCAACAAUUUUUGCAAUCUUUGUAAACUUGUGGGCUUUUAAAUGGAAUAAUUUACAAAAUAAAUAUCAUGGGAUGAUAAUAAUAUUGUGAUGUAAUUUUGAUAUAAUUGCGGCACUUAGCAGUACAUUUAAACUUCAAUAUUUUUUAACGAUUUAUAUUUCUUAUUAAUUGGUAAAGAUGAUCGUCAAGAAUAAAUCCUGUCGAAUGAACAUUGUGCUUAACUUAAAGUAAAUGCACAUUUUAUCUCAUAUCAAGAUGACAAUAGAAAGUAUUAUUUGUGGUACAAAUGCCCCAAAAGUGAAGAAAAAAAAA